Non-coding RNA from Acidobacteria bacterium 13_1_20CM_3_58_11, 139 nucleotides. The record is from Rfam. Lineage: Bacteria; Pseudomonadati; Acidobacteriota.
CAGUGGGAGGCAGUCCCACCCGGCAGCUUUCGCUCCGGCCGGUAGCAAUCGGAGCGGUCGUGGAGGAAACGAAGCGGCCGAAGCCUUCGGUGCACAGGGUCACGUAGGUGACUUGGCAAGCACGCAGACCGCAGCGGUA